This 72-nucleotide transfer RNA is filed under the name Camelus bactrianus (Bactrian camel). It matches the Rfam family "tRNA". From Rfam's summary of the family: Transfer RNA (tRNA) molecules are approximately 80 nucleotides in length. Their secondary structure includes four short double-helical elements and three loops (D, anti-codon, and T loops). The record is from Rfam by way of RNAcentral. RNAcentral also lists the same sequence under 1 other name. Lineage: Eukaryota; Metazoa; Chordata; Mammalia; Artiodactyla; Camelidae.
GAGGGUAUAGCUCAGUGGUAGAGCAUGUGUUUAGCAGGCAUGAAGUCCUGGGUUCAAUCCCCAGAACUCCCA